RNAcentral lists this ribosomal RNA (253 nucleotides) under uncultured bacterium. RNAcentral describes it as "partial 16S ribosomal RNA". It matches the Rfam family "Bacterial small subunit ribosomal RNA", at positions 524 to 776 of the family's 1533-position model. The record is from RNAcentral.
UACGUAGGGUGCUAGCGUUGUUCGGAAUCAUUGGGCGUAAAGCGCGUGUAGGCGGUCCGGUAAGUCCGCUGUGAAAGUCGGGGGCUCAACCCUCGGAUGCCGGUGGAUACUGUCGGGCUUGAGUACGGAAGAGGCGAGUGGAAUUCCUGGUGUAGCGGUGAAAUGCGCAGAUAUCAGGAGGAACACCAAUUGCGAAGGCAGCUCGCUGGGACGUUACUGACGCUGAGACGCGAAAGCGUGGGGAGCAAACAGG